UGCCCGCGACGUUGUGAGAAGUCCACUGAAUCUUAUCAUUUAGAGGAAGGAGAAGUCGUAACAAGGUUUCCGUAGGUGAACCUGCGGAAGGAUCAUUG
Molecule: ribosomal RNA, 98 nt
Filed under: Lonchocarpus brachyanthus
Lineage: Eukaryota; Viridiplantae; Streptophyta; Magnoliopsida; Fabales; Fabaceae
Description: partial 18S ribosomal RNA
Rfam family: Eukaryotic small subunit ribosomal RNA
Source: RNAcentral